ACUCAAAGGAAUAGACGGGGGCCCGCACAAGCAGUGGAUUAUGUGGUUUAAUUCGAAGCAACGCGAAGAACCUUACCAGGGUUUGACAUCCCGCUAACGAGGCAGAGAUGCAUUAGGUGCCCUUCGGGGAAAGCGGAGACAGGUGGUGCAUGGUUGUCGUCAGCUCGUGUCGUGAGAUGUUGGGUUAAGUCCCGCAACGAGCGCAACCCCUAUUGUUAGUUGCUACGCGAGAGCACUCUAGCGAGACUGCCGUUGACAAAACGGAGGAAGGCGGGGACGACGUCAAAUCAUCAUGCCCCUUAUGUCCUGGGCUACACACGUAAUACAAUGGCGUUUAACAGAGGGAAGCUAAGCCGCGAGGUGGAGCAAAUCCCCAAAAGGCGUCUCAGUUCGGAUCGCAGGCUGCAACCCGCCUGCGUGAAGUCGGAAUUGCUAGUAAUCGCGGAUCAGCAAGCCGCGGUGAAUACGUUCCCGGGCCUUGUACACACCGCCCGU
Molecule: ribosomal RNA, 495 nt
Filed under: uncultured bacterium
Lineage: Bacteria
Description: bacterial SSU rRNA
Rfam family: Bacterial small subunit ribosomal RNA
Source: RNAcentral